This 253-nucleotide ribosomal RNA is filed under the name uncultured bacterium. RNAcentral's name for it is "partial 16S ribosomal RNA". It matches the Rfam family "Bacterial small subunit ribosomal RNA", at positions 524 to 776 of the family's 1533-position model. The record is from RNAcentral.
UACAGAGGGUGCAAGCGUUAAUCGGAUUUACUGGGCGUAAAGCGUGCGCAGGCGGUAAGUUAAGUCUGAUGUGAAAGCCCCGGGCUCAACCUGGGAAUGGCAUUGGAAACUGGCUUGCUGGAGUGUGGCAGAGGGGGGUGGAAUUCCGCGUGUAGCAGUGAAAUGCGUAGAGAUGCGGAGGAACACCGAUGGCGAAGGCAGCCCCCUGGGCCAACACUGACGCUCAGGCACGAAAGCGUGGGGAGCAAACAGG